RNAcentral lists this ribosomal RNA (481 nucleotides) under uncultured Desulfotomaculum sp. Its description in RNAcentral is "bacterial SSU rRNA". It matches the Rfam family "Bacterial small subunit ribosomal RNA", at positions 904 to 1382 of the family's 1533-position model. The record is from RNAcentral. Lineage: Bacteria; Bacillati; Bacillota; Clostridia; Eubacteriales; Desulfotomaculaceae.
UACAAGGAAUUGACGGGGCCGCACAAGCGGUGGAGCAUGUGGUUUAAUUCGACGCAACGCGAGAACCUUACCAGGGCUUGACAUCCCCUGACCGUCUAUGAAAGUAGGCUUUCUACCUUCGGGUAGACAGGGAGACAGGUGGUGCAUGGUUGUCGUCAGCUCGUGUCGUGAGAUGUUGGGUUAAGUCCCGCAACGAGCGCAACCCUUACGGUUAGUUGCCAGCGGGUUAUGCCGGGCACUCUAGCUGAACUGCCGUUGACAAACGGAGGAAGGUGGGAUGACGUCAAAUCAUCAUGCCCUUUAUGUCCUGGGCUACACACGUGCUACAAUGGCCUGUACAGAGGGAAGCGAAAGGGUGACCUGGAGCGAAUCCCAAAAAGCAGGUCUCAGUUCGGAUUGCAGGCUGCAACCCGCCUGCAUGAAGUCGGAAUCGCUAGUAAUCGCAGGUCAGCAUACUGUGGUGAAUACGUUCCCGGGCCUU